CUUUCAGAGAUUAUUUUUAACAAGUUUCAUGAUUUUUUAGGUAGCAACAUGGUGGUCUGAUUAUCUAAAGUAUUUAAAGAAGAAAAACGAUGGAGGAAUCUAAGGAAAAUUUCAUUGAAAAAUCAGCUGAACGGUUAACCAAAAAUGUACAGAAUAUGGCUAAUUAUCGAAGUCUUUAUAACGAAAUUCAAAGACUCGUUGCUUCGACUGUUGUAAAAAAAGACGAUUUUAAAAAUACUCUACUCGAUGCUCUCAAAGUAAAUGGAUUAGAGACUGAGCUUAGAAAUACUGUGUUUCAUUGGGUACGAUCGCAGGAUUCAUUGAGAUCGAAACCAAUACUCGCUGAAAAUACUGAUUUGACUUACUUAAAAAAAGUUCAAAUUCAAUGGGAGCGUCGUAUUCAAAAAUCUUUAAAUUCUAUGUGCAUUGAAUUAAACGUUCCAUUAGCUCGUAUAAGACCCAACGCAGAUAGAGAAGAACUUGCUGAAAAAUGGAACGAACUUAGUACUUACGAUAUUGAUCUGUCUCGAUACAGGCCAUUGUAUGCUCCAAAAGAUUUCUUAGAAGUAUUGUUUUCUAUACGUGAUCCAGCGUUUAAAAAACAUCCCGAGGAAUUAAAUUGGGAUUUUAGUCACAUACAAAUUCGUGUAAGAACACUUGCAGAGCUGAGAUGCUUGUACGUUGAAUUAGCUCAAGGUAUGCCUUUGCUUGGUGUUAAUCCUGAUAUGCCAGCCACAGGAAAUUUCGUUAAUUUAGAAGCCGAAAGAACUCAUAUAGGUGAAAGAGUAUUAAGUACAAAUUAUGUGCCAAUUGCGCAGGAAUUUUUAAAAAAAGGAGCACCACGUGCUUUAAGAGGACGUCUUUGGUCUCUUGUUUUAGGAUCAGCCAUUAAAGAUAAUGACAUCGAAUAUUACGAGGAAUUGAAAAGUAUGGUCUUGCAAUAUGACAUUAUUGUUGAUAAAUUAAUUAUAAAGGAUGUACAAUUAACAGCGAGUAACGACGAUCAAUAUUUUGUUUUUGAAGAUGUUCUUUAUAAAACGAUGCUGUGCUUUUCAAGGGACUCGGAAGUAUUAACUCCGGUUACUACCGACAGAAGUGCAGGUGGUCAAGUGAUACAUGCGGUUUUACAAGGGAAACCUGCAACCUUAGAAAAUACUUUAGUAUUCCCUCCAAGUGGUGUAAUACCAUUCCAUGGAUUUACUAUGUAUGCUACUCCAUUCUGUUAUUUGUACGAUGAUCCAUGCAUCAUGUAUUAUACAUUUCGAGCAUUUUAUUUACGUUAUUGGUUUCGUCUUCACACAGUCUCGAGUCACGAGCAAGGUAUAGUUGCAUUAUGUUUAUUAUUUGAAAGACUAUUACAAUGCUAUGAACCUCUGUUAUGGGCCCAUUUUAAGAACAUCCAUUUACAACCAAUUAAAGUAGUAUUCAAAUGGUUGAUGAGAGGCUUUAGCGGUUACUUACCACCCGAGCAAUUAUUAUUUUUAUGGGAUUUAGUAUUGGCAUAUGAUUCUUUAGAAAUAAUAGCUCUUCUUGCCGUGACUAUUUUAAGUUUUAGAAAAGAAAAUUUGAUGCAGGUCAAUACUCAGCACAACGUUGAAGCUGUCUUAGCAGAUUUAUCAUCGUUAAAAGUGAUACCUUUAUUACAGUUAGUCUUAUUGAAAGAAUAAUUAGAUUGUUUUGAUUGAAAUCGAAAAGAACUAUCGUCAAACUUGCCAGUCAAAUUUAAAUGACUUUCGAAACGCCUGUAGAUCUGCAACCCGUUCUACAUAAUACAUAUGUAAGUUUAUUGAGAGGGGUGGACAUGCCUGUUUCCGGCCAAUGGAACACGAUCGAAACUACAAGCUACGCUCACACACGUAAUCGUAUAAGCAGUCAUUAUGACGUCAUCCCUUGGAAUCGUACAAUAAAACAGUUUAAAGCAAUUAACAAUUAUUCUCGUUUGUGGUA
RNAcentral lists this unclassified non-coding RNA (1947 nucleotides) under Polistes dominula (European paper wasp). Its description in RNAcentral is "tBC1 domain family member 19, transcript variant X1". The record is from RNAcentral. Lineage: Eukaryota; Metazoa; Arthropoda; Insecta; Hymenoptera; Vespidae.